This 2641-nucleotide long non-coding RNA is filed under the name Homo sapiens (human). RNAcentral describes it as "HSALNT0402280". Lineage: Eukaryota; Metazoa; Chordata; Mammalia; Primates; Hominidae. The record is from RNAcentral.
GAAGCGAGGCAUUUUGGCUAGUCACCGCGUUUUUGCUGCGUCACAGGGAGACAGAAGAUGGGCUGCUAUUUCGUCGGCUAAAUGCUAUCAUUUUAAGCACCGUUCCAAAGAAAACAGGGAUCUUGCCAGAGGAAAAUAACAUAUACCAUAAAGGAAAAAGAAAUGUGCAUCAAGGCAAAUAAACAGCUCUCUACUAAGGGCCUAGGAUCUUGCUAGACGAGUCAUUUCUCUGGUUGAAAAGCAGUUGAGAAAGGCAAGACAAGGGGGGCGGGGGCCCAGCAGGGCACCUCUGAGCCCUUCCUGCUGCUCUUCAAAGACAGACGCAUUUUCCUUUCUACGGUCUCCUUGCAAGUCUUCUGUAGGCCCUGCCACCUUCAGGCUGACUGACUGCCUCCUUCAAAUAUCAGCAUUUGCUCAGCAGAGCUUUGUGCUGGUGGACAGAUGGAUGUGCUGGAAGGAGACCCCUGCUGACCCCUGCUGACUCCAUGACAGAGGGAUGGAAAUUCUGCCCCUCCCAGACCUCACCCUAUGCGUUCUGUUUCCUUUAUAAUGAAAGCACAAUUAGAGGAAGGGUACUGGGGAGUCGACACCCUCAUGUCUGUGAGCUGACUGCAGGACGUCUCCUGUCCAGGUGCUGGCACCUCAUCUAACAUUUGAAGGCUCAGAAGAAAAGCCACGUCUGCCUACACAAUCUCACAAUCCGGCUUCAGCAAAGCAUGAGUUAAUUCAACUUCAUACUCGUGAACGUGAAGCGGGGGUUGGAAGGAAUGAAGGCUGCAGGACACCCAUGUACCAAGAAAAAGAAAGACAAAUUGGUUGUUUUAUCUACUUUACAUCAUGAUGGAGUCCUAAAAAGGGCCCCAUGAAGGCAGGCAGCCCAGGGAGGAAUGACUGGACGGUGACAUUGUGCAGGGGGUCUGGAAGUUGCCAGCGCAGGGGUUAGCAGCUGCAGCCUGGCCUGGUCCUGUCUGCCUGGCUGUCAAACCCAGAAGACCGUGGUUUCUGGUGGCCUCUGUGUGACAGCGGAGGAGGUGGGGCGAGGCCUGGAAGUGAAGCAUCUCGUGAGCCACUUAAGUGUUUAUGAAGCUCGCUAAUGUGCUUAAAUGAACGAGAAGCAGGUACUUGCUCCCAGGACCAGAGCCACCAAAGCAAUUUCCUCUGCAGCCCCUCAUACUUCGCACACUGGAAGCUUGCAUUCUUUCCCAGAGGACAGCCGGAUUACAGCACCGCCUCUAAUGCAACCCGAUCUGGUUUCUUUGAGCGCCGCGGUGAACGUGCAAUCUAUCUCAUAAAUGCAUCGCAGUGUUCCACAAAUCACCCACGUUCAUCCCUUGAGACGUCUUUAACUCGGGGCUUAGAGUUGCAAAUGAAUUCUCCUAUGGAUCUAUUAUUCCAUCAAAUAGCGGAGAGAGGGGACUAGCUUGUGCAGAGCCUUCAUAGAGCUGGGCUAAAUUCGAUUAUGCAAAGUCUAACGAGCACCAUUCAGCAAAACCAUGGUGGGUGUGAGCUGCAGGCCAGCCCCUCCACUGGGCCAUUAUCCAGGGGUAAACACCACUCGUGGGUUAGUUCCACGAGUUACUGGCUGAUUUGACCUGUGAUACUCCAAGGUGGAAGUAACCAAAUAAUAUGUAUCAUGAGCCCCAAGAACGAAGCCAGUGGAGAGUGGUACAUGCUAGAGGGUAACGCCUGGCCCUUUGCAGGACAGCACGUCAGCCAUGCGCCAUGGGACGAUGGUGGUGGCUGGGACACAGGAGGCCACGGCAGGAAAUGGGCAGGUGGGUGGGUCUAUGUAAGCUGGCUUUAGACUUCAAUCCACAAGCAUUUGCAGCUCAACUACUCAGCGUCUUAUCUUAUUUAAUCCUUUCAGCAAUAAACACUCUUUUCACAUGUAGUAAGGUUAAGGAGUCUACAUCACACCCUUUAUCAUUAUUAAUAAAGGGACACACCCUCCAGGGAUCCUAGGGAACCUCCUACCCACCCUGUGGUCACUCUAGGGAAAGGAAAGCUCUCAGGGACCGACGGGAGCCUGGGCACAUGCGCCACCACUCUCUCCUUUAUCCCCUCUAGCCCGGCUUGCUGGCUCUCACUUUCUUUUGUGCACUAGAACUCACGUACAAGUUGCACACCCAAACCCUUGCAUGCUGCAUUUCAGAGUCAACUUCAGUGAUUUUUGAGAGUGAUUUUGACAAUCCCAGUCAAAAUUCUAGCAGGUUUUUUUUUUUUACAUGACAAGUGGAUUCUAAAAUUCAUAGGAAAAUGCAAAUGACCUAGAAGAGCCAAAGCAAUUUUGGAAGGAGUAAAGUCGAAUGGCUGACGCUACCAGAUUUCAAGAUUCACUUGAAACGCACAGGAAUCAAGACAGGGUGGUGUCGACAGAAGGAAGGCGUCAGAGCAGGGUGACAGGAGGCAGGGCCACACACAGACGGCUGAUUGAUACCCGACAAAACCGCCGAGGUAAUUUCACAGGGAAAGGAACUCUUUUGAACAAAUGGUGCACCAACAAUUGGAUAACCAUACGGAAAAAAUUUAAAAAACAGAAGAACAUUGACCCUUCACGCACAUCAAACAUAAAUUAACUCAGAAUCCAUCAUAGGCUGGGUGUUGUGGCUCAUGCCUUUAAUCCUAGCACUUUGGGAGGCCA